GAUGAAGAACGCAGUGAAAUGCGAUAAUUAAUGUGAAUUGCAGAAUUCCGUGAAUCAUCGAGUCUUUGAACGCACAUUGCGCCUCAUGGCAUUCCGUGAGGCAUGCCCAUCUCAGCGUUAGAAAAUAUUCUCAAAUUUUAGUUUUGUGCUAAAAUUUGGAUCAUGUCAAAGAAGCUAUUACUAUUAUUGUGAUCGCUCUUUGGAAAUUGAUAGGUCUUUGAGUUGCUACUCAUAGAACGUGAUGAAUCUUUCUUCGUUCUAUUGUAAUUCACUCUGGUAGUCCUAAAACUUGUAUGCCUGUGGCAUAUCUUGUAAGUUGACCUGAGAUUGGGUAGGGAUACCCGCUGAACUUAAGCAUAUCAAUAAGCGGAGGA
This 374-nucleotide unclassified non-coding RNA is filed under the name soil metagenome. RNAcentral describes it as "partial contains internal transcribed spacer 2 and large subunit ribosomal RNA". The stretch from base 1 to 120 matches the Rfam family "5.8S ribosomal RNA", at positions 35 to 154 of the family's 154-position model. The record is from RNAcentral.